UACGAAGGGGGCUAGCGUUGCUCGGAAUCACUGGGCGUAAAGGGUGCGUAGGCGGGUCUUUAAGUCAGGGGUGAAAUCCUGGAGCUCAACUCCAGAACUGCCUUUGAUACUGAGGAUCUUGAGUUCGGGAGAGGUGAGUGGAACUGCGAGUGUAGAGGUGAAAUUCGUAGAUAUUCGCAAGAACACCAGUGGCGAAGGCGGCUCACUGGCCCGAUACUGACGCUGAGGCACGAAAGCGGGGGGAGCAAACAGG
This 253-nucleotide ribosomal RNA is filed under the name uncultured bacterium. RNAcentral describes it as "partial 16S ribosomal RNA". It matches the Rfam family "Bacterial small subunit ribosomal RNA", at positions 524 to 776 of the family's 1533-position model. The record is from RNAcentral.